RNAcentral lists this transfer RNA (90 nucleotides) under Myxococcaceae bacterium. Its description in RNAcentral is "tRNA-Ser". It matches the Rfam family "tRNA". From Rfam's summary of the family: Transfer RNA (tRNA) molecules are approximately 80 nucleotides in length. Lineage: Bacteria; Pseudomonadati; Myxococcota; Myxococcia; Myxococcales; Myxococcaceae. The record is from RNAcentral.
GGAGAGAUGGCCGAGUGGCUGAAGGCGCACGCUUGGAAAGCGUGUAUACCCGAAAGGGUAUCGAGGGUUCGAAUCCCUCUCUCUCCGCCA